RNAcentral lists this unclassified non-coding RNA (1792 nucleotides) under Hevea brasiliensis (rubber tree). The record is from RNAcentral. Lineage: Eukaryota; Viridiplantae; Streptophyta; Magnoliopsida; Malpighiales; Euphorbiaceae.
GGGUGUAUAUGUCCUAACACUAUGACAAAUUUCCAAGUAAUUAAACUAAUUCAGCUUCAAGUAUCUUAUCAAACAUGAUGGAGCUAAAACUCAAAAGAGUGUAAUGUAUAACUUAAGACUGCACUCUAAAUGCUCAAAUCCAGGAAAUACCAAUUAAUAUGAAUUGAGGCUUGCAUUUCUACCUUGAUAUUCUAUAAAGUAGCCAAGUGCCAAACUAUGCAACUUUGAUUAAUUAAAAAAAAUGAAUUAUUAGUAGAUGAGAUUUAGAGGGAAACAAAUUGAUUAACACUAUUUAUUUGAGAUAUAUCUCACAAUAUCAAUAACCUCAAGCCCAUACAAUGUUUCAAAGAAGUAAGAGAACAAGAAUUAUUUCCUGACAGUAUUUACAGCCCACAACAGCGUCACUGGAACUUAGGAUUAUCUCUAUUCACUAUAAAUGAAUUUAUUUGCAAGGUAGGAAAGCAGAUAAUGUGCCUUCUGAUGCAGAAUGUAGUCUUAUAUCUGCUAUUAAUUUAAAACAACUUAUUCACUUCUCGAUCAAGAAGUAAUUGAAAUCAAUUUAUUACAAGAUAUUUAGUCAUCUACCAAAGCAAGUACCAAGAGAUAAUACAUAACUUUUAAUUUGUUUUAGCAUCAGCAAUGAAUAAAGGUACCACAAGUCUGAAUCAGAAGAAAAUCAAAACCUGAGUUACAGCUACAGCAAAUUGUUAGAAUCACUUACCUACCCAUGUCUUAAUGAGCAUAAUCAGUUCCCCACCCAUGUCCUAAUAAGAAUAAUCAGUUGCUUACCCAUGUGCCAAUAAGCAUAAACCUUAUUUGAGCAUAUUGUAUGACGGCGGUAGAAAGCACACUCGUACACAACCAUGACCACAGCAUGAAUGCUAACAAGCGUGCUCUCUCUCGUCGUCAACCAAUCAUGUCAAAACUAAGGGCAACCUGCAAAAAGAGUUAUAAAAGUAUGAAAAUGCAGUUAAAAUUAUCUAGUAUACUAAAAAUUACCUGAAACCGUAUCAAUAACCCAUUAAAACAACCAAUAUAUCUUUCUACCAGCACAAGAUGAUAAGAAAUUGGAGUAUAACUAUCUCAUUCAUUUAUAUUCUAGGAAUCCUAAACAGCAGAAAUUGCAACACCAUGUAAGCACAACACUCAUAAACUAAUUACCAAUAUUCCUUUGUAACCAUAUAAAAAGUAUUAAUCUCUUUAAGAAAGGAAGAGAAAUUUGUUCUUUUGCCUGUUGGGCUGUUAAAAAUAAAAGCACAAGCCACUCAACCUCAUGUUCUUAGGCAAGGGAUCCACACUCCACUAUGCAACCAUACCACUUGAACAUCCGGAAAACAAGAUCCACCAAAAAUCUAAAAUGAGCUAAUAAUAAUACAAUAUCACAUGCAAUAAAACAUUUACAACCUUAAAAAUUUAUGGCCAUUAAAAUUCCAGGAAAUUACUGUAAAGCAUAUAGUCUUAACUAUGAAAAUAACCAAGCAUGUUACCAACAUGAGAGAGGAAAAAUUUUAAAACCUCAUCAGAAAAUGGAAACACAAAGUCCCAGCUACCUCCAGGCAUAACAAAAAAAUCAUGAAGCAAAUCGCAAAACUCAAGAGCACCAACAAGCACCAGAGAAACGAGUUUUAGAGAUCCACAAAUGCGCCACCAUAAAAGCAAGAAAUCAACUUGAAGAAUCGGAGAAUCCGGAUAUAGCCAGACCAAGGACAUUACAGUGUACGAGCUUCUGAAGCAAGGAAGAAUAUAAAGGGAUAGACGAAUAGGCUAAAAGAGAAAAAGUUUAGGAAAUGCG